This 466-nucleotide ribosomal RNA is filed under the name uncultured soil bacterium. RNAcentral describes it as "bacterial SSU rRNA". It matches the Rfam family "Bacterial small subunit ribosomal RNA", at positions 35 to 497 of the family's 1533-position model. The record is from RNAcentral.
GCUGGCGGCGUGCUUAACACAUGCAAGUCGAACGCGCAGCAUUCUGUAGCAAUACAGGGUGUGGGCGCGUGGCGAACGGGUGCGUAACACGUGGAUAACCUUCCUUGAGGUGGGGAAUAACCCAGUGAAAAUUGGGCUAAUACCGCAUAACAUCGCGAUGGCACAUGCUGAUGCGAUCAAAGGCGCAAGUCGCCACAAGAGGGAUCCGCGGCCGAUUAGCUUGUUGGCGAGGUAAUGGCUCACCAAGGCAAUGAUCGGUAGCCGGACUGAGAGGUUGGCCGGCCACACUGGAACUGAGACACGGUCCAGACUCCUACGGGAGGCAGCAGUGGGGAAUCUUGCACAAUGGACGAAAGUCUGAUGCAGCAACGCCGCGUGGGGGAUGAAGCUUCUCGGAGUGUAAACCCCUUUCGACCCGGAAGAAUGCCCGCAAGGGUAUGACGGUACGGGUAUAAGAAGCCCCGGC